AAACAAAAAAAAGGACAAAAAAAAAAAAGAAAAAGAUUAACCCAUGCUUGGAUGGUUACAUUGUGCUGUAAUUGCUAUUUGCCUGGCAGUGGUCAUUUACAUCUACUAUACAGGUUUGAUCUAUCAAUUCGAUCAUGGAUUUCUAGUAGGGUUCAGUGAUGAACUUCCAGUGGGAAAUUAAUCUUAUUUUGAGGACAACAGAUGUAGUUUUCAAUCAUGUGGGUUUUUUUUUUUCUUUGGGCAAAUGUCAGCAGAUAAUGUACUCUUUGGUACUUUAAGAGUGCUUUCUUUUGUAACAGAAAAGUAAUUUGGUCCUCAGUUUUUUCCCAUGUGAUACAAAAUUUGGUUGUAACCUUUGUAUGGCAGAGUAGUUUGGUAGUGAUAGAUAGCAAUUGAGAUUGCACUUACAAAGAAACCACUAAAAGUCUCUGUUUUUGGAGACAGAACUUUUACUAUAUUGACAUAAAUUUGUGAUUGCUUUGUAGCAAAUCCCAUAUGUAGCAAUAUUGGUGUUGGUCAAUUAAAUUGAGUUGCUUAUGCUUUCAAAUACAUGCUUUAUGUUGGCAACAACUGAAUAGUUGGUAGUAUGUUGUAACCUCUACAGAUAGGUUUAUAUUUGUAAAAAAAAAAAA
Molecule: unclassified non-coding RNA, 632 nt
Filed under: Hevea brasiliensis (rubber tree)
Lineage: Eukaryota; Viridiplantae; Streptophyta; Magnoliopsida; Malpighiales; Euphorbiaceae
Source: RNAcentral